Molecule: unclassified non-coding RNA, 392 nt
Filed under: soil metagenome
Description: partial contains 5.8S ribosomal RNA, internal transcribed spacer 2, and large subunit ribosomal RNA
Rfam family: 5.8S ribosomal RNA (bases 1-120)
Source: RNAcentral
GAUGAAGAACGUAGCGAAAUGCGAUACGUAGUGUGAAUUGCAGAAAUACGUGAACCAUCGAAUCUUUGAACGCAUAUUGCGCUCGAGGCUUCGGCCAAGAGCAUGUCUGCCUCAGCGUCGGGUUAAUCCUCACCAUCCCAUUCCCUGAAUGUCAUGGUGGAUAUGGCUUUCCCAGGCCUUGUGUCUGGGUUCGCUGAAGCACAGAGGUUGAUGCAUGGACCCGUUAUGGGCCGCAACUGGGUAGGCAACUUGUUGCUGAAUGCUUUAGUUGUUGGCUUGGGACUGUGCCGUCGACCCGAAAUCAGGAAGGGCUUCGGCCCUAUUAACCUUUAUCUCGACCUGAGCUCAGGCAAGAACACCCGCUGAACUUAAGCAUAUCAAUAAGCGGAGGA